Molecule: ribosomal RNA, 800 nt
Filed under: uncultured bacterium
Lineage: Bacteria
Description: bacterial SSU rRNA
Rfam family: Bacterial small subunit ribosomal RNA
Source: RNAcentral
GACGACCUUUGGCGGCGUGCCUAACACAUGCAAGUCGAACGGAGAAUUUUAUUUCGGUAGAAUUCUUAGUGGCGAACGGGUGAGUAACGCGUAGGCAACCUGCCCUUUAGACGGGGACAACAUUCCGAAAGGAGUGCUAAUACCGGAUGUGAUCAUCGUGCCGCAUGGCAGGAUGAAGAAAGAUGGCCUCUACAAGUAAGCUAUCGCUAAAGGAUGGGCCUGCGUCUGAUUAGCUAGUUGGUAGUGUAACGGACUACCAAGGCGAUGAUCAGUAGCCGGUCUGAGAGGAUGAACGGCCACAUUGGGACUGAGACACGGCCCAAACUCCUACGGGAGGCAGCAGUGGGGAAUCUUCCGCAAUGGACGAAAGUCUGACGGAGCAACGCCGCGUGAGUGAUGAAGGAUUUCGGUCUGUAAAGCUCUGUUGUUUAUGACGAACGUGCAGUGUGUGAACAAUGCAUUGCAAUGACGGUAGUAAACGAGGAAGCCACGGCUAACUACGUGCCAGCAGCCGCGGUAAUACGUAGGUGGCGAGCGUUGUCCGGAAUUAUUGGGCGUAAAGAGCAUGUAGGCGGCUUAAUAAGUCGAGCGUGAAAAUGCGGGGCUCAACCCCGUAUGGCGCUGGAAACUGUUAGGCUUGAGUGCAGGAGAGGAAAGGGGAAUUCCCAGUGUAGCGGUGAAAUGCGUAGAUAUUGGGAGGAACACCAGUGGCGAAGGCGCCUUUCUGGACUGUGUCUGACGCUGAGAUGCGAAAGCCAGGGUAGCGAACGGGAUUAAAUACCCCGGUAGUCCUGGCCGUA